GGAAUCAUCGGCCUUGUGUGAUAUAACAUAUACGUCUUUUGUUUACUUUGACUUUUGUCGAGUUAGUCUCCUUUCGUACUCCGAGGAGGGAGUAUCGCAGCUCUCUCUUUCCGAACGUGAAAUGUUAGAAAUUAAUACUUUCGAUAAUUUCACAAUUAUUUAAACAAUUGUUAAUGUGUGCGGAAUACAAAAAACAAAUAUUUAAACAAUAAUAAAUUUGUUUAACAUUACAAAGAUCGUAACGCGAGAGAAACUUAAUAUAAUUGUAAUUAAAAAUCUUAAUAUUUAAAAGUUGUAACCUCGGAAUCAUCGGCCUUGUAUAAUAUAAACAUAUACGACUUUUAUUUACUUUGUCUUUUGUCGAGUUAGUCUUCUUUGGUAUUCCGAGGAGGGAGUAUCGCAGCUCUCUCUUUCCGAACGUGAAAUGUUAGAAAUUAAUAUUUUCAAUAAUUUCACAAUUAUUUAAACAAUUGUUAAUGUGUGCGGAAUACAAAAAACAAAUAUUUAAACAAUAAUAAAUUUGUUAAACAUUACAAAGAUCGUAACGCGAGAGAAACUUAAUAUAAUUGUAAUUAAAAAUCUUAAUAUUUAAAAUUUCUAACCUCGGAAUCAUCGGCCUUGUGUGAUAUAACAUAUACGUCUUUUGUUUACUUUGACUUUUGUCGAGUUAGUCUUCUUUGGUAUUCCGAGGAGGGAGUAUCGCAGCUCUCUCUUUCCGAACGUGAAAUGUUAGAAAUUAAUACUUUCGAUAAUUUCACAAUUAUUUAAACAAUUGUUAAUGUGUGCGGAAUACAAAAAACAAAUAUUUAAACAAUAAUGAAUUUGUUUAACAUUACAAAGAUCGUAACGCCAGAGAAACUUAAAAUAAUUGUAAUUAAAAAUCUUAAUAUUUAAAAUUUCUAACCUCGGAAUCAUCGGCCUUGUGUGAUAUAACAUAUACGUCUUUUGUUUACUUUGACUUUUGUCGAGUUAGUCUCCUUUCGUACUCCGAGGAGGGAGGAUCGCAGCUCUCUCUUUCCGAACGCGAAAUCUUAGAAAUUAAUACUUUCGAUAAUUUCACAAUUAUUUAAACAAUUGUUAAUGUACGCUAAAUAAAAAAACUAAUAUUUAAACAAUAAUAAAUUUGUUUAACAUUACAAAGAUCGUAGCGCGAGAGAAACUUAAAAUAAUUGUAAUUAAAAAUCUUAAUAUUUAAAAGUUGUAACCUCGGAAUCAUCGGCCUUGUAUAAUAUAAACAUAUACGACUUUUAUUUACUUUGUCUUUUGUCGAGUUAGUCUUCUUUGGUAUUCCGAGGAGGGAGGAUCGCAGCUCUCUCUUUCCGAACGUGAAAUGUUAGAAAUUAAUAUUUUCAAUAAUUUCACAAUUAUUUAAACAAUUGUUAAUGUGUGCGGAAUACAAAAAACAAAUAUUUAAACAAUAAUAAAUUUGUUUAACAUUACAAAGAUCGUAACGCGAGAGAAACUUAAUAUAAUUGUAAUUAAAAAUCUUAAUAUUUAAAAGUUGUAACCUCGGAAUCAUCGGCCUUGUAUAAUAUAAACAUAUACGACUUUUAUUUACUUUGUCUUUUGUCGAGUUAGUCUUCUUUGGUAUUCCGAGGAGGGAGUAUUGCAGCUCUCUCUUUCCGAACGUGAAAUGUUAGAAAUUAAUAUUUUCAAUAAUUUCACAAUUAUUUAAACAAUUGUUAAUGUGUGCGGAAUACAAAAAACAAAUAUUUAAACAAUAAUAAAUUUGUUAAACAUUACAAAGAUCGUAGCGCGAGAGAAACUUAAAAUAAUUGUAAUUAAAAGUUUUAAUAUUUAAAAGUUCUAACCUCGGAAUCAUCGGCCUUGUGUGAUAUAAACAUAUACGACUUUUAUUUACUUUGUCUUUUGUCGAGUUAGUUUCCUUUUGUACGCCGACGAGAGCACAUCGCAGAUUUCGCAGUUCGCAUUCUCCGCAAGUAAUAACGAAAGUCAAUAAUUAAAUGGUGAAGUGGGGAUACUCUCCCACCCGUAGCGACAAUAUAAUCGGACCGGUUCACAGGUUAUGGUUCAGUAUUGCUUUGAAUUUCGACGAGUACACAUCGGAGUUCUCGUAGUACGUGUCCUUUGCAAGUAAUAGAGAAGAGUUAAUAAUUAAAUGGUGAAGUGGGGAUACUCUCCCACCCGUAGCGACAAUAUAAUCGGACCGGUUCACAGGUUAUGGUUCAGUAUUGCUUUGAAUUUCGACGAGUACACAUCGGAGUUCUCGUAGAUGAAAUGGUGUGGUGGGGAUACUUUCCCACCCGUGACGACAACAAACUCGGACCUUCAGUCGACUUUGCCAGUUACUAGUUCAGUUUCGCUGUGUCUUCCGACGAGUGAACUUAGAAAUUUUCUCACUUUCGGAGGAGGACUUUGAUAAUCUAUCUGCACGAGUGGACUUAGAAAUUUUCGGAGGAUGUCAAUGGAGCGAGUAUUAACGAAGACUUAAAAACCACGUUGUGCAGAUGUAAUCGAGUGUUUGUAUCGCUAAAAUAAAUUUAUCGCGAAGUAGAAGCAGUGUUUGUUCGUUCGCGUUUCGCGAUUUAAACCAUAAGUGUUUUUGAAUAGACUGCGUGCAAUGCAGUCCUUAGAGUCAGUGUUUGUUCGUAAAGUUAUUUGCUCUUUUAACAGUCGCACAGACUGUACUUAUAAAAGAUAGUAGAGUUUCGCGAAAUAAAUUCAGUGAUCGUUCGUUAAUAAAUAACUACCGCGAAUUAGAGUCAGUGCAUCACUGAAGAGGAUCUCGACCAACUUCGAUGUCGACCUACCUCAUUUUCAACCAACUACAAAUCAUCCACCCUCAAUUUCGACCUAAAUCGCGGUCCAGUGUUUUGGAGCCAUCGCAGAACUUCUUAAGUAGUAAGUUAAUUUUUAAAUCCCUCCGAUCACUCGAUCAUGUCGAGGACGAAAGGUCCGAAUCGGCACGAGUGAUUGGUUGUAAUUAAUUAGUAGAAAAGCAUUGAGUGACCUCGAGUAAAUUUCCGAAGAAAUUCUACGGAAAUUUACUCGUGAAUAGUUCGUUAUUUUUUUUAUUUAUUUAUUAGAUCAGGAUAGAGUCUUCUUGUUUAAACGCGAUAAUUAUAAUUAUUUGAAAUGUUGUAUAUUUAAAUGCAUUUUUAAAUAAUUUUCUCUUGCGAAAAUAGUAAAGAAUCGCGAUCUUCGCGAAUUUUAAUAAUGAAUAAGCAAGAAGACAUUCGCGAUGGAUAGUCUCUGGAUUACAAGCGAAAUUGUAUAAUUUCUUUUCUAAUAAUUAGAAUAAUUGCUUGUAAGGAGUGUCCAAUGAUUUUUCAUUAGAUUUUUAUAUAAGGAUUAAUCAAUUUUAUUAAUAAAAGAAAAGUCUCAAUAGAGUCAUUGCUUUUGAAAGAAUAAAGUAGACUAAAGUCAUUGAUAAAAGGCAAAGAGACUUGUAGAAUAUAGAAUAAGUUAAUCAAUUUUUAGAUUAGGAUUUUCAGCAAUUAAUAUAUUAAUUCUCGUUUUUCUUUCUACGCUUUCUUCAUUUUUCGUUUCAGGAUUAAUUUAGAGUUGCGUUAGAUUUAUUAGUUUCCUUCCACGUUUUAGAAUAAAAGAUGGUUUUAGUUUCUUGAUAUUGACGUUAGUUCGAAAGUUCGACAGAACCCUUCGAAAAUGGCUCUUAAUUAUAUUUUAAUUUUACUAUGUAGUCACUCAUAAUGCUCUUAUGUAAUAAUAAUUUUAAUUUUAGAAACUUGGACGAAGUAACGCUUCAUCUCCGAUGCCACAUUGUCACGCGUACGGGAAUGAAAUUAUUACAUAUUUUAUUCAUUUUUAUUAUUAAAGCAAAGUAAUAAAUUUUUCAUAUUUUUCUUUUUUAAAGUUCAAUUAAAAUCGUAAUUUUAUUUUAAUAAAAUCAAGUACUAUAUUGAAAUAAUAGCUGCGAAACGUAUAAGAUAUGACAAUUGUGGAAACCACUGAAAGUGCACAUGGAGAUGAAACGAACAUACCGAAAUGUGUAUCAAGUACUGUCUGCAUUUCGUUACUGGAAGAGAAUAUUCGUUUAGAGUAGAAUCGAAGAUUUUACAUUUUCAUUUUCUUUUAUAAAUUUAAAUUGAAUUAAAUUCAGAAUUUUAUUUUUCAUAAAUAAUAUACACACAUUAAUAUACAUAAUUACAUAAAUACGUCAUUACAACUUACAUACACUAGUUUCUUUCCUCAUUUCUUUUCUUCUCUAUGAAAUCAAGUUAUUGAAUUACUCUACAUUUUUAUUAUAUAUACUUCUAUUUAUUCAAACACAUAUCUGUAUAAUAAUUGAAACAAUUAUUCGAGAUUAAUUAUUUUAACUUCUCUCGGGUGGGACCCUUGGGAGGGGCCCUUGGGUGUGGGCCUUAGGCGGGUUUCGUUCUCUCGCUAGGAAUAAAAUUAGACUCAUUUAUGGUACUCUGAUUUUUGUCUAGUGAAAUGGUCUUCGAAAUACUUAUUCAUUAUUCCGAAUUCUAUCUUUCUCUCAGACAUGUUCCGUGUUUCUUUUCUUCGUUUUUCCUUUUCUUUUGGUUUCCUCUUCUCUUUCGUUUCUUUUUCCUUUUCUCUUAUUCUUUUACUUUUUUUCUAUUUCAAGUUAGAUC
Long non-coding RNA from Vespula vulgaris, 4580 nucleotides. RefSeq lists it as uncharacterized. The transcript is spliced from 5 exons. NCBI's taxonomy places the organism in Eukaryota, Metazoa, Arthropoda, Insecta, Hymenoptera, Vespidae. The record is from RefSeq and is a predicted model, not a curated record.